AUGGCUGGAGAACACUGCAUGGAGUCUCCUGAAUCACCCUUCUUUGUUCCCUCUAAACCCUUUUACAUUCCUGAUGGCCUCAUCGUUAAGAGCCUAAUGUUAUCCUCAACCACCGGGCUUUCCGACCCCCAUGGCCACACUCCCACCUCUCCCCCUUCUUUAUUAAUAUCAACCCUCUUCCCAACACGAGCCCUGGAAAGCCGGGGCGCUGCGUCCCCUCCCUGCGCCCUGAUGGGCACCCGUGCCGUGCCCUCAGGGCUUGGCGGGCAGCACCCUGGGGGAUGCUCAUCCCCUGAUGUGCCGGGAGGGGCAGGCACGGCCAGGACUACGUUUCCCAGCGGCAAUUUCCAGGGGCUGCACAUGCUCCUUGCGGCUGCACGGCUGCUCCCAGCAGCUCCCGGUGCGGCUCCCGGUGCGGCUCCCGGUGCGGCUCCCGGUGCAGCCCCAUCGCGGGCGCACGGGGCUCCGUGGGGAGCGCACAUCCGACCCCCGGGGGCGAGCCCUGCCUGGCACCCACCCUCCUGCCCCCCACCCCAGCCACCCCAGCCACCCCGCAGCAUGCCCCGCGGGCGAGCCUGGACACCGGCGGAGGUCAGCAGCCUCCUGGCGCUGGUGGAAGGCUCCGGGGAGGCCGCCCUGCUGAUGGCCUCCACGUCGUGGCCCAACGAGGCGCUGUGGCAGGAGAUCUCCCGGGGGCUGGCGGCGGCCGGCUACGGCCGUAGCGUGGCCCAGUGCCGCUCCAAGUGGAAGGCACUGAAGCAGGCUUUCCACUCGGAGCGGGAGACGCGCCGCCGUGCCGGGCGGCACUCGUCACGCUUGCCCCCGCACUACCGCACCAUGAAGAGCAUCUGGAAGGCGGCCGGGCGGCCCGUUUUUGGGGAGAGGCGGCUGCCCGAGCUGGUCAAGCCGCCCCCCAGGAAGCGCAGGUCGCUGGCCGCACGCUCGCCGGCACCGCCAGCUGCUGCAGAGGCCCCCGCCGUGCUGCUGGCACCGCUGCUGCAGUGCCCAAAGGACAAGCCGGAGAGCUCCCGCGGGGACCACGUCGAUGGAGCAUCACCCGACCCCGCGGCCGCCCCACGCACCAGCUGCUGCAUCCCUCCCCAACCCCUCCCGGGCUGCCUGAAAGAGGAGAGCGCCGAGCAGAAGGCAGGUUUUCCUGGUGAGACAUCCCCGGGGAUGGGACGAGGCAACCCAGGCUCCGCGGGGAUGGCCGCAGCGAGCGAGCACGCGGCGGGCGAAGAGUCCUCGGACACCAGCCUGCAAGGCGGCGGCGUGGCGGGCUUGCUGCAGAGCGUGCAGCAGCUGCUGGUGCAGAUCCUGCAGACGUCGCGGCAGCAGCAGGCGCUGCUGGAGAGCCUGGCCAGCGACACCGUCUCCCACCUCCACCUCCUCUCCCACAGCCUGGUGCAGGUGGGCGAGACCCUGCACCAGCUCCUGCUCCGGCCGCCAGCCCCCCACGCCCCCCACGCCCCCCUUUUCGAGGGCGACCCCCGGGUCCCGCUGCUCCCCGGGCUCCCCCCUUGCGGCAAGGAGGAGCCCCAGGUGCCCCCCGACGCCGGCUGCGCCCCGCCGUGA
This is a long non-coding RNA of Cairina moschata (Muscovy duck), 1575 nucleotides long. The record is from Ensembl. Lineage: Eukaryota; Metazoa; Chordata; Aves; Anseriformes; Anatidae.